UACGUAGGGUGCGAGCGUUGUCCGGAAUUAUUGGGCGUAAAGAGCUUGUAGGUGGCUCGUCGCGUCGGGAGUGAAAACCCCGCGGCUUAACCGCGGGCCUGCUUUCGAUACGGGCGGGCUAGAGUUCGGCAGGGGAGACUGGAAUUCCUGGUGUAGCGGUGGAAUGCGCAGAUAUCAGGAGGAACACCGGUGGCGAAGGCGGGUCUCUGGGCCGAUACUGACACUGAGAAGCGAAAGCGUGGGGAGCGAACAGG
RNAcentral lists this ribosomal RNA (254 nucleotides) under uncultured bacterium. RNAcentral describes it as "partial 16S ribosomal RNA". It matches the Rfam family "Bacterial small subunit ribosomal RNA", at positions 524 to 776 of the family's 1533-position model. The record is from RNAcentral.